This 66-nucleotide transfer RNA is filed under the name Culicoides wadai. RNAcentral describes it as "tRNA-Asn". Lineage: Eukaryota; Metazoa; Arthropoda; Insecta; Diptera; Ceratopogonidae. The record is from RNAcentral.
UUAAUUGAAACCAAAAUAGAGGUGUAUCACUGUUAAUGAUACCAGUGAAAUUAAUUUCCAAUUAAA